Molecule: non-coding RNA, 73 nt
Organism: Fusarium proliferatum ET1
Lineage: Eukaryota; Fungi; Ascomycota; Sordariomycetes; Hypocreales; Nectriaceae
Source: the annotation of a RefSeq genome assembly
GCCCUUGUGGCCUAAUGGCUAAGGCGUCUGACUUCUAAUCAGAAGAUUCGUGGUUCGAGUCCGCGCUGGGGUU